AGAGAUGGGUUUUCACCGUAUUGCCCAGGCUGUUCUUGAACUCCUGAGUUCAACAGAUCCAUCCACCUUGGCCUCCCAAAGUGCUGGGAUUACAGGAGAAGGAUGACAUAAAAAUCUUCAGGAUGAAUGCUCUAACAGAAAGGUGGGCACGUGCCUAAAUGACUCACACAAAGAAAGCUGUGAGGAGCCUUGAGCAUUUGAGAUGGAGUGAGGCCGUGUGGAAGGGGCUGUGGAAGGUUCCAUCUAACAACUUGCUAGGCAGGUUGGGGCAGGGGGAAGUGCUCCGUGAGGGGGGCCUGGGAGAGAAUCAGGAGAACAGGGUACAACAGCUGGUGAGUUUUCCUUCUGAUAUAGACAAUGCCUGGAGAGCAAACUGUUACAGCUAAGAGAGAUCUUUAAGUGAAAGAAAAGGAGAAGGCUCCAUCUCAGCUUAUUAGGAACAGAUGAUAAUGCAUUGCCAGGCCUUCAGUACAAAAGGUAUUAGACUCAAGAUUCUACAAGAUUCUGUUUGCGCCAGACACUGAUUAGCAGUGCAAAUAUAAAAUGAAUACAAAUAGAUCACGCAUCAGAAUGCCAAUCACUUCCUAGAAACACUGAUCAAAAUUUGCAUUAAAUCAACAGAUCUUUCUUUUAAGAUGGGUGUGGCAACAGUAAAGCUUUCUACGUGUUAAACAGAAUGAACAAAACCAACACAGAGCAGUAACUUCCUGCCAGAGAGAGCAGAA
Molecule: non-coding RNA, 725 nt
Filed under: Pongo abelii (Sumatran orangutan)
Lineage: Eukaryota; Metazoa; Chordata; Mammalia; Primates; Hominidae
Source: RNAcentral